Molecule: ribosomal RNA, 476 nt
Filed under: uncultured bacterium
Lineage: Bacteria
Description: bacterial SSU rRNA
Rfam family: Bacterial small subunit ribosomal RNA
Source: RNAcentral
CGGCGUGCUUAACACAUGCAAGUCGAACGAUGAAAUUCUGACGGAGGCUUCGGCCAACUGGAGGGAUGGAUUAGUGGCGGACGGGUGAAGUAACGCGUGAGUAACCUGCCUUUCAGGAGGGGAAUAACAUUUGGAAACGAAUGGUAAUACCGCAUAACGUCAUGAGACCGCAUGAUCUUAUGAACCAAAGGAGCAAUCCGCUAGAAAGAUGGACUCGCGUCCGAUUAGCUAGUUGGAGAGGUAACGGCUCCCCAAGGCGACGAUCGGUAGCCGGACUGAGAGGUUGAACGGCCACAUUGGGACUGAGACACGGCCCAGACUCCUACGGGGAGGCAGCAGGUGGGGAAUAUUGCACAAUGGGGGAAACCCUGAUGCAGCAACGCCGCGUGAAGGAAGACGGUCUUCGGAUUGUAAACUUUUGUUCUUAGUGAAGAAAAAUGACGGUAGCUAAGGAGAAAGCCACGGCUAACUACGUG